CCUACGGGGGGCAGCAGUGGGGAAUAUUGGGCAAUGGGCGCAAGCCUGACCCAGCAACGCCGCGUGAAGGAAGAAGGCUUUCGGGUUGUAAACUUCUUUUCUGAGGGACGAAGAAAGUGACGGUACCUCAGGAAUAAGCCACGGCUAACUACGGGCCAGCAGCCGUGGAAAUCCGUAGGGGGCAAGCGUUAACCGGAGUUAUUGGGUGUAAAGGGCGUGUAGGCGGGAAAGCAAGCCAGAGGUGAAAACCCAGGGCUCAACCCUGAGCCUGCCUUUGAAACUGUUUUUCUUGAGUGCUGGAGAGGCAAUCGGAAUUCCGUGUGUAGCGGUGAAAUGCGUAGAUAUACGGAGGAACACCAGUGGCGAAGGCGGAUUGCUGGACAGUAACUGACGCUGAGGCGCGAAAGCGUGGGGAGCAAACAGGAUUAGAUACCCCUGUAGUC
This 443-nucleotide ribosomal RNA is filed under the name uncultured bacterium. Its description in RNAcentral is "partial 16S ribosomal RNA". It matches the Rfam family "Bacterial small subunit ribosomal RNA", at positions 338 to 795 of the family's 1533-position model. The record is from RNAcentral.